This 382-nucleotide unclassified non-coding RNA is filed under the name uncultured Verrucomicrobiae bacterium. RNAcentral describes it as "contains 16S-23S intergenic spacer region". The record is from RNAcentral. Lineage: Bacteria; Pseudomonadati; Verrucomicrobiota; Verrucomicrobiia.
UCCGGUUUGGCACCGGCAGUCUUUCUAGAGUCCCCGACUUUACUCGCUGGCAACUAGAAACGGGGGUUGCGCUCGUUGCGGGACUUAACCCAACACCUCACGGCACGAGCUGACGACAGCCAUGCAGCACCUGUGUAGGCUGGUAUUGCUACCUCGUCACCCUUUCGGGCUCCUACUACCUACAUGUCAAGGCCAGGUAAGGUUCUUCGCGUUGCAUCGAAUUAAGCCACAUACUCCACCGCUUGUGCAGGCCCCCGUCAAUUUCUUUGAGUUUUAAUCUUGCGACCGUACUUCCCAGGCGGCACAUUUAACGCGUUAGCUACGCCACAAAAGGGGUCGAAUCCUUUUACAGCAAAUGUGCACCGUUUACGGCUAGGACUAC